GGAUUAGAUACCCUGGUAGUCCACGCCGUAAACGAUGCGCACUAGGUCGGGGAGGUUUUGACGCCGUCUUGACCGAAGCAAAAGUGUUAAGUGCGCCGCCUGGGGAGUACGGUCGCAAGGCUAAAACUCAAAGGAAUUGACGGGGGCUCACACAAGCGGUGGAGCAUGUGGCUUAAUUCGAAGCAACGCGAAGAACCUUAUCCAGGGUUUGACAUCCCGGAUUAAACCAUCGAAAGAUGGUCUACACCCUUUGGGUGGAACGGUGACAGGUGCUGCAUGGCUGUCGUCAGCUCGUGUCG
RNAcentral lists this ribosomal RNA (299 nucleotides) under uncultured bacterium. RNAcentral describes it as "partial 16S ribosomal RNA". It matches the Rfam family "Bacterial small subunit ribosomal RNA", at positions 775 to 1067 of the family's 1533-position model. The record is from RNAcentral.